AGAGUUUGAUCCUGGCUCAGGGCGAACGCUAGCGGCGCGCCUAACACAUGCAAGUCGUGCGGGAAAGGGCUUCGGCCCUAGUACCGCGGCAGACGGGUGAGUAACACGUGAGCAACCUGUCCCCGGGUCUGGGAUAACCUCCCGAAAGGGUGGCUAAUACCGGAUAAAGUCGCCGAGCGCAAGCUCGGUGAUGAAAGGGGGCCUCUGCAUAGCAAGCUCCUGCCUGGGGAGGGGCUCGCGGCCCAUCAGCUAGUUGGUGGGGUAACGGCCCACCAAGGCUAUGACGGGUAGCCGGCCUGAGAGGGUGGUCGGCCACACGGGCACUGAGACACGGGCCCGACUCCUACGGGAGGCAGCAGUGGGGAAUCUUGGGCAAUGGGCGAAAGCCUGACCCAGCGACGCCGCGUGGGGGAAGAAGGCCUUCGGGUCGUAAACCCCUGUUCUGGGGGAAGAACCCUGAGCGGGUUAAUAGCCCGUUCAGGCUGACGGUACCCCAGGAGAAAGCCACGGCUAACUGCGUGCCAGCAGCCGCGGUAAUACGCAGGUGGCGAGCGUUGCCCGGAAUCACUGGGCGUAAAGGGUGCGUAGGCGGCAGGGCAAGUCGCGGGUUAAAGCCCGGGGCUUAACCCCGGAAGGGCCUGCGAUACUGCCUUGCUUGAGGGCCGGAGAGGCUGGCGGAAUUCCCGGUGUGGGGGUGAAAUCCGUAGAUAUCGGGAGGAACACCGGUGGGGAAGCCGGCCAGCUGGACGGUUCCUGACGCUGAGGCACGAAAGCGUGGGGAGCAAACCGGAUUAGAUACCCGGGUAGUCCACGCCGUAAACGAUGGGUGCUAGGUCUGGGGAGGAAACUCUCUGGGCCGAAGCUAACGCGUUAAGCACCCCGCCUGGGGAGUACGGCCGCAAGGCUGAAACUCAAAGGAAUUGACGGGGGCCCGCACAAGCGGUGGAGCACGUGGUUUAAUUCGAUGCAAAGCGAAGAACCUUACCUGGGCUUGACAUGCCAGGGUUGUACCCCGGUGGAAACACUGGGGGAGCGUGGGUUUUUACUCACGCGCUCUGGCACAGGUGCUGCAUGGCUGUCGUCAGCUCGUGCCGUGAGGUGUUGGGUUAAGUCCCGCAACGAGCGCAACCC
This 1131-nucleotide ribosomal RNA is filed under the name uncultured bacterium. RNAcentral's name for it is "bacterial SSU rRNA". It matches the Rfam family "Bacterial small subunit ribosomal RNA", at positions 8 to 1104 of the family's 1533-position model. The record is from RNAcentral.